Oryzias melastigma (Indian medaka) is the source of this 1275-nucleotide long non-coding RNA. RefSeq lists it as uncharacterized. The record is from RefSeq and is a predicted model, not a curated record. The transcript is spliced from 2 exons. Lineage: Eukaryota; Metazoa; Chordata; Actinopteri; Beloniformes; Adrianichthyidae.
ACAGCAUUUGCACCCGAAAUCAUCAGCCAGAAGAGCUCGAGGAUUUUAAGGUUUUUUUUUUCUUUGACAUACUGCUUAUGUGAUUAGCUGAUUCACAGACAAAAACUGUAUUUCACCGUCUUCUUCUCCAGAGGAUAUUCCCUCUGCUGCUUGGAUGUACGGUGCACAGCAGAUGUGCAGAGGAGCAGCUGCCUGCAGACAGAGCUGUCUGCUGCUCUACAGCUGCUAUCAAACAGCUCACCAUGACUCCUUCUAGCUUCCAGCAACCAACCUGCAUACAUCCUCCCAGUUGCCAUGGAAAUGGAGACUGGCAUGAGUAGCACCCAGCCAGUCAAAGACAUCAGAGCAGCAGAAGGAACAUGAGACUACCGCUGGUGAAAGUGAUUUAUUGAGCGUGUGUUCAAAGUCCAUCUAACUAUGACAAGCCUGUAAGGACGCCACAAGUUAAAAUACUGGUUGAAGGAGCUACAGUCCAUUACAGUGCAUGUAUUAGAUUUUAAUAAACAAAAGACAACAUUUUUUAUUGAAAUAAAAUAAAAAUAUUUCAUACAAAAUUAAUAUUAAACUCCUACAUGCUGUAUUUGUACAAACAGUUCUUUAAUAAUUGACUUUUCAGCUUUUAGAACCUUUUUCUCUUGUCGAUUUGCCUUUUAGCGACUGAAAAACUCACCAGGCACCGAGCCAAGCCGCACUGAGCAACACCUUUCCCUGAAUUAUAACUUUCAACUAACCUUCAAACCCUAGUGCAUAAUUUUAAUCCUAUUUUUAUAUCAAUAAGUCAAGCCAGGCAAUUAUCUUUUCUCUGCAUGCUCUGCUGUCAGAGAGGAGAAUAAUAGCAUUUCCUCUUGUGAGAAGGGUACGAAGAAAGAGAGGAGACAGAGUCGGGGAGGGAAAAAAAAGCAGAAAAAGAGACUGAAGAUGCUAUCUAAAGACAUUAAUGCAGCAAUGAAUUAUUCAGUAAUGACUACAAGAUCUGUCAUGAAAAAAAGGAGAAAUCUGCUAACAUCUGCACUGUGUUUCUAAAGGGGGCUGAGCAGUGCAGGGCAUUGAUGCCAGAACGCCUCUGAAGAUAAACAUGACAAAUUGGCAGAUCAUCUGUUCAAUUAGGGUAGCAGAGCAGGUGCGCCGGUGAGGUGGCUGUGCCACAGGAUGACACACUUAUUAAGCCAAACCAGAGGCAUGAUGGGAAUACCUUGUUUGCGUGACAGUGAUUUAGAGCGAUGCACCAGAAAGAUACCACACAGAAAAAAAACAACACCAACAUGAAAAAAAGAA